GAUGAACGCUGGCGGCGUGCCUAACACAUGCAAGUCGAACGGAGUCCAGCCUUUAAGACCUUCGGGUCACAGAGGGGAAGACUGAGUGGCGGACGGGUGAGUAACACGUGGGCAACCUGGCUCAUAGAGGGGGAUAACAGAGAGAAAUUUCUGCUAAUACCGCAUAAGCACACACUGCCGCAUGGCAGAGGGUGAAAAGAGAAUCGCUAUGAGAUGGACCCGCGUCUGAUUAGCCAGUUGGCAGGGUAAGAGCCUACCAAAGCGACGAUCAGUAGCCGAUCUGAGAGGAUGAACGGCCACAUUGGGACUGAGACACGGCCCAAACUCCUACGGGAGGCAGCAGUGGGGGAUAUUGCACAAUGGGGGGAACCCUGAUGCAGCGACGCCGCGUGAGUGAAGAAGUAUUUCGGUAUGUAAAGCUCUAUCAGCAGGGAAGAUAAUGACAGUACCUGAAUAAGAAGCCCCGGCUAACUACGUG
This 478-nucleotide ribosomal RNA is filed under the name uncultured bacterium. RNAcentral describes it as "partial 16S ribosomal RNA". It matches the Rfam family "Bacterial small subunit ribosomal RNA", at positions 28 to 507 of the family's 1533-position model. The record is from RNAcentral.